RNAcentral lists this long non-coding RNA (231 nucleotides) under Capsicum annuum. RNAcentral describes it as "long non-coding RNA (CANN_LNC002889)". Lineage: Eukaryota; Viridiplantae; Streptophyta; Magnoliopsida; Solanales; Solanaceae. The record is from RNAcentral.
CUGCGGGGGGUUUUGGUGUCAUUUUUUGAACCCAAAACACAAUGGUGUAAUAUGAGUAUCAAAAUUAUAGUAAUGAUGUGUAGAUUGUGUUUUUGAUAACUUGUCACCUUGAAGAAGUUUCUUGAAAAGGAAAAUCAAAGGUUUAGCGGUUCGUGGGCUUUCUUUGAAUUUGAGGUAGGUUAGGCUUACUUCUUAUUAGAUUGGGCUGUGUUAUAGUAUAGUUGUGAGAUU